UUGGAGGGCAAGUCUGGUGCCAGCAGCCGCGGUAAUUCCAGCUCCAAUAGCGUAUAUUAAAGUUGUUGCAGUUAAAAAGCUCGUAGUUGAACUUCGGGAUCAAUGGAUUGGUCAUGCCGAUGGUAUGUACUGGUCAUAUUGGUUCUCACCUUCUAAGGAACCAUAAUGUCAUUCAUUUGAUGUUUUGGGGAAUUAGGACUGUUACCUUGAAAAAAUUAGAGUGUUUAAAGCAGGCUCACGCUUGAAUACAUUAGCAUGGAAUAAUGAAAUAGGACAUCCGAUUCUAUUUUGUUGGUUUCUAGGAUCGAUGUAAUGAUUAAUAGGGAUAGUUGGGGGCAUUAGUAUUCAAUUGUCAGAGGUGAAAUUCUUGGAUUUAUUGAAGACUAACUACUGCGAAAGCAUUUGCCAAGGAUGUUUUCAUUAAUCAAGAACGAAAGUUAGGGGAUCGAAGACGAUCAGAUACCGUCGUAGUCUUAACCAUAAACUAUGCCGACUAGGGAUCGGAUGAUGUUAAUUUUUUAAUGACUCAUUCGGCGCCUUACGGGAAAC
This 549-nucleotide ribosomal RNA is filed under the name uncultured Glomus. RNAcentral's name for it is "SSU rRNA". It matches the Rfam family "Eukaryotic small subunit ribosomal RNA", at positions 548 to 1098 of the family's 1831-position model. The record is from RNAcentral. Lineage: Eukaryota; Fungi; Glomeromycota; Glomeromycetes; Glomerales; Glomeraceae.